GCCCAGGUAGCUCAGUCGGUAGAGCAAAGGACUGAAAAUCCUUGUGUCGGUGGUUCGAUUCCGCCCCUGGGCAC
This 74-nucleotide transfer RNA is filed under the name Alphaproteobacteria bacterium MarineAlpha6_Bin3. Its description in RNAcentral is "tRNA-Phe". It matches the Rfam family "tRNA". Rfam says of the family: Transfer RNA (tRNA) molecules are approximately 80 nucleotides in length. Their secondary structure includes four short double-helical elements and three loops (D, anti-codon, and T loops). The record is from RNAcentral. Lineage: Bacteria; Pseudomonadati; Pseudomonadota; Alphaproteobacteria. RNAcentral also lists the same sequence under 3 other names.